AAAAGGGAGGUGGACAUUUGUUUUUGGGUGAAGUUUUGUACCUCCUACAACAGAUGGCGACAACCACGAAGAAAACCCUCCUCCUCUUCACAUCUCCUCCGCUAUUUCUCUCUCCUUCGCCUCUGCCCAACUUCCUCCGCCUCGCUCCGGACUCCAGAGGCCGCAGAACCUCGCUCCGGACUCCGGAGACCACCUUCUACGGCCUCCCCUUGAGACGAUACUGCUCGAUGGAAAGGUUCACGGAUCGCUAGCUUGUGCUGUUAAGGUGAGAGGCCAAACCCCGAAGGUGGCCAAACAGGACAAGACGAAGAAGCCAAGUGGCAGGGCUCACAAGCGCAUGCAGUACGACCGUCGCUUCGUUACCUCCAAGAGGUUAGGAAGUGCUGGAAGCCAUCUGCAUCUCGUGGAGAAGUAGAAUCAUCUCUCUGACCAUAUUAGCAAACAUAAUUAUGGUCAGUUAGCCCAAGGCAACUCUGAGACCAUGUUUGGCUUUACAACAAAUGCAGGUACGACCUCAAAUGACCACUGACAUCAUUCAAGAAGUUAAUAUGGGUGCAUCUCAGAAAUCUAUGGCAAUGGAUCCUUCGUCAGUUUACGGACAAGCAACUUUACAAUCAAAAGCUGGACUAGGUGUAGGUAGAUUACCAAACCCUUGGGAAUGAAAGUAUUAUGUUAUAUAUGACAUUUGUGCAUGACUUAUGAGAAAUUAUGACUUAUGAGAAUAUUAUGGUUUUCAUUUUUUUAUCCUAUCGGAAUGUCGAUUCGAGUUUAAGUUUGUACUCUUAUCCUCCCAAAUUCUGCAAUGUGACUGAUAUGUAGGUAGAUGUGAGCGUGUGUAGCAUAGCACGAUGGAUUUUCUUUUAAAGUAGUUCCUUUCAGUUGGUUUGGGUGGGUGGGUUGUAGAGUUUGAGUGUGCGUGUGUGUGUUUUAAUGGUACGUGGUGUGUGUCUGUGAUUGGAUGAAUCAUAGGGUGAUCCUGUGGAUGAAUCUGCUGCUUCUACGUAGAAGAAAGAAAAAGGAAAUUGUGUGACGUGGGGAGGGAUCCCCUGUGAUUGAUACACACAUGGCAUAAAAACCCAACUCCGUUCCAUGGAGAAACAAUGGCAUUUACGGUAUUAAUUAGGUUAAAAGUUCAAUUCUUAUGCUGCUACGUUUUUGCUGCACGACAAGGAAGAUCAGUGUUCUAGAGUUAUUCCAAGAUCGGAAUGUACAUUAGAGUACAUCAGUGGUUCAGAGCACCAAGGAGGCGAUCCAAUUAGUGUUCAUGUGGUGGUAGAUGGUGCAUGGUUGAAGGAUAACAAACAAGGUGGUGUUGCUUGGUAAUCAGACCUGGUAAUGGCAGCUUAAUAUUAUCAUCUGUAGCAAUGAAAAUCUGUCUUUAAGUUUUAUCUUUUUUGCUUAAUGCUUUUUCUUUGUCAAUUCAGUGCUGUCCUUAGAAUAUAUGCAUGUGGGAUGUAAAUUGACCUUGCUGUUAAGUGACUAAGUUGGGAGAUCAAACAUGAAUUAGUAGAUGAUUACAAGUGAAAAUUAUGGUGCAGAGAAGUAAAGAUUUGGACACUUCAGAAUUGCUUGAGCAUUUACCAGCUUAGCAGCAGCUUUUAUUUCGUGUUGUGCUACUUGCUUUUCUCUUAGUUUCAUAAUUGAUCUCUCUUUUUCUUUCUUUCAGGAAAAUAUCUUGCGUUGGCAGAGGAUUGAUGGGUUAUCUUGGAAAUAAGGGAUUCGUUUCAGUCAGCAUGUUGUUACAUGAAACGAGCCUUUGCUUUGUGUGUAGUCAGCUUCUUCCAUUAGCUUCAAAACUCUAACUUUGAUGCUAGCCUUUUGCUAUUGUAUAGAUAAACCUGUAGCCAAAGUCAUGUAGUUAGUCAUAAAGACUAGCGAGUGUAUAGCAAAAUUUUUGUAGACAGCUACUUAUGAUCAAACUUAUGCAUACAAUUUUUGCUA
Rhododendron vialii is the source of this 1941-nucleotide long non-coding RNA. RefSeq lists it as uncharacterized. Lineage: Eukaryota; Viridiplantae; Streptophyta; Magnoliopsida; Ericales; Ericaceae. The transcript has 6 exons. The record is from RefSeq and is a predicted model, not a curated record.